UUGAUGAUUGUAUUCCAUGAUGUCUUUACCAUGUUUCUCUUUCCUCUCUCAACUGGUGGUUAGUUCUUCUGGAUUAAGUAUAAGUGACUUGUGUGUUAAGCAUCCCUCUCUUGUGUAAUCUUAAUGUUCCUUCCAAAAUGUAUACAUAAGUACAUUUGAAAGUUUCCACCAGUACUUUUAUAGCACUCCCAAUUCCUUCAUAUUCUCUCCAAUUUAAACUUUAUGCCAAAUUCAUAUGAACUCAUUUUUUAAAAAGUACUUUUUAGGGGAAAGAGGGAAUAUAUUUAGAGGCUGUGAAGGAAAAGGACAUGCCAAUAUGACGUGAAAGAAGGCUAGAUUGGGCAGAAGACAAAAAUAGAAGCAAUUAUAAAAUUUACUUGGGUAGAAAGAAGAGCCGUUGGACAGGGAAUGAGGCAAGGUGAGGACUGCCUGACAGAAGAGGUAGGGUGGGGGGAGGGCGGUGAGUGUGGAAAACAGUUGCACCCAGGGAUCCUCAAAAGCCAGUCCAGAUCCCAGGGGCACAUGAAGGGCUUGUGAGAAAUAGUUUCCUGUCCUGACCUAUCAAAUCAGGAUCUCUGGAGAAAGUGCCCUGGAACACGCUUGACAGCCAUCCCCUGGAUGUCCCGUGGGUUUAGAAACCACUGAACUGCUUGUGGUGCCUUACAUUCCCACAGUUUCUACGUGUACAAUGCACUUUCAUUCUUGGUGUGCACUUGGUGGUCUACCUAUGUGUGAUUUCCUUUCAUGGCUGAGACAUUAAUGCACAGUGGCUAAGCACUCCAACAAACGUAACCUCUGGGGAGGAGAGUGGGGUUUACACUUUUAUACGUGACACCAUUUUUAUACCAAUUACGCCCAUAGAGUCGCCAGGCUCAGAAAGAAUUGGAUCUUGGACAAGAAAAAUGAAAACAAAAUUUGUAAAUUAUUUACAAGUUUCAGUACUCUGUUUUCAGUCAUAAAACUAGACUUCACCCA
Long non-coding RNA from Pipistrellus kuhlii (Kuhl's pipistrelle), 975 nucleotides. RefSeq lists it as uncharacterized. The transcript has 2 exons. The record is from RefSeq and is a predicted model, not a curated record. NCBI's taxonomy places the organism in Eukaryota, Metazoa, Chordata, Mammalia, Chiroptera, Vespertilionidae.